RNAcentral lists this ribosomal RNA (395 nucleotides) under uncultured bacterium. RNAcentral's name for it is "partial 16S ribosomal RNA". It matches the Rfam family "Bacterial small subunit ribosomal RNA", at positions 523 to 918 of the family's 1533-position model. The record is from RNAcentral.
AUACGUAGGGUGCAAGCGUUAAUCGGAAUUACUGGGCGUAAAGCGUGCGCAGGCGGUUUUGUAAGACAGUGGUGAAAUCCCCGGGCUCCACCUGGGAACUGCCAUUGUGACUGCAAGGCUGGAGUGCGGCAGAGGGGGAUGGAAUUCCGCGUGUAGCAGUGAAAUGCGUAGAUAUGCGGAGGAACACCGAUAGCGAAGGCAAUCCCCUGGGCCUGCACUGACGCUCAUGCACGAAAGCGUGGGGAGCAAACAGGAUUAGAUACCCUGGUAGUCCACGCCCUAAACGAUGUCAACUGGUUGUUGGGGAUUUAUUUUCUCAGUAACGAAGCUAACGCGUGAAGUUGACCGCCUGGGGAGUACGGCCGCAAGGUUAAAACUCAAAUGAAUUGACGGGG